RNAcentral lists this ribosomal RNA (497 nucleotides) under uncultured bacterium. Its description in RNAcentral is "partial 16S ribosomal RNA". It matches the Rfam family "Bacterial small subunit ribosomal RNA", at positions 28 to 507 of the family's 1533-position model. The record is from RNAcentral.
GAUGAACGCUGGCGGCGUGCCUAAUACAUGCAAGUCGAGCGAACAGACGAGGAGCUUGCUCCUCUGACGUUAGCGGGGUACGGGAGAUUAACACGUGCAUAACCUACCUGUAGGACUGGGAUAACUUCGGGAAACCGGAGCUAAUACCGGAUAAUAUAUUCAACCUCUUGGUUCAAUAUCUAAAGACGGUUUUUCUGUCACCUAUAGAUUGAUCCGCGCCGGAUUAGAUAGUUGGUAAGGUAACGGCUUAUCAAGGCAAUGAUGCGUAGCAGCCCUGAGAGGGUGAUCAGCAGCACGGGGAAGGAGACACGGUCCAGAAUCGUGCGGGAGGCAGCGGCCGGGAAUCUUCCGCAAUGGGCGGUAGGCUGACGGAGCAAAGGCGCGUGAGUGAUGAAGGUCUACGGAUCGUAAAACACUGUGAUUAGGGAAGAACAAAUGUGUGUGUAACUAUGCGCGUCUUGACGGUACCUAAAGAGGAAGCAACGGCUAACUACGUG